This 253-nucleotide ribosomal RNA is filed under the name uncultured bacterium. RNAcentral describes it as "partial 16S ribosomal RNA". It matches the Rfam family "Bacterial small subunit ribosomal RNA", at positions 524 to 776 of the family's 1533-position model. The record is from RNAcentral.
GACGAACUGCCCAAACGUUGUUCGGAAUCACUGGGCUUAAAGGGCGCGUAGGCGGCGUAUCAAGUCAGGGGUGAAAUCCGGCAGCUCAACUGUCGAAGUGCCUUUGAUACUGAUGCGCUCGAGGGAGGUAGGGGUCUGUGGAACUUCUGGUGGAGCGGUGAAAUGCGUUGAUAUCAGGAGGAACACCGAUGGCGAAGGCAGGUCUCUGGGCCACUACUGACGCUGAGAAGCGAAAGCAUGGGGAGCGAACAGG